This is a non-coding RNA of Cinara cedri, 2069 nucleotides long. Lineage: Eukaryota; Metazoa; Arthropoda; Insecta; Hemiptera; Aphididae. The record is from the annotation of a GenBank genome assembly.
AAUCAGUAGAUAACUUAUUUGUUACUCUUUAGUAUGCUUACUAUUACGAACGAGUGCUGUGACAUUUACUUUUUUAUAUUAGUGUUAGUACCUGUUCUAAUAAUAUUGAAAUGUCUAAACGUCAGUGUAACUAUAAGGAUAAUUUUUCUAAAUAAUGGGAUUGCAUAAUAAGAAGUCGUUAUAAAGCAGAAAUUGAAUGCACACUGUACCAUUCCAUUCAUUUUUGAGUAUUGAACAUAGUGAGUGAAGUGAUAUUGAAGAUCAUUUAAAAUCAAAAAAACAUAAAUUGAAAAUUACUAAGUUCAGCAGGUUUUUCAAAAAAAAAUUGAAACAUUUUUUCAAAAUAUAGGUAAUUCAAAGGAAAAAAUGAAAGUUCAUGCAGCUGAACUUACUCAAGCCUACCCAGUAGCGACGCCAAGAUAUUUUUUUAGGUAGAGCCAAUAGGAGGCCAACAAUUACAAAGUAGGGCCACAAAAAAAAUGAGAUUUCAGCGGAAAAAAAAACAAUACUGAUAGCCCAAGUAGGUAAAUUCUAUUUAACUUUUAUUUAACAAACUAUUAAAUAUAAACCAUAAAUAAAACAUAUUCAAUAUAAGUGCCUAUGAAAACAUGUAUAUAUAGAUGUAUGUUACAAACUAAAGUAUCUCAACCACCAAGUAAGGAAAUAUUUUGAACAUGUAUAAUAACUAUAAUAAUAAUUUCUAUCAUCUCACUCAAAACUUUUAAGAAAUUAAAAAUUAAAAUACAUUUUUUUUUUUUUAAAAUGAAAGCAAACCAAAAGUGUUAAGUUAAUUUUUAAAAAUUAAAUAGGCUAUACUACGUUUUGUUACUUUGAAAUGUGUACAAACAAUGCAUCCAUUGUAGACUAACAAUAUAAAAAAAUGACAAAAUAUUCAUUCGGCUGAGAUUAAACAUACGACCUUUUGCAAUAUAAUGUAGCAGUAUAUUAAAGUUACAUACGGUGAACAUGUACUAUUAUUUUCUGCUUCCAUAAAAUUAUUAUAAUUUUUUUAUAUUAUAAUGUCAAAGGUCAGGCCAGUGGUAGGGCUAUUGGUAGAGAUAGGCAUUUUCAUGUAGGGCCAUGACUCUAUCUGGCAAGUCCCUGGCGCCGCCCACUGAGCCUACAAUUCUGUUCUUAACCACCAAAGUUUUAAUUCAAUAUACAUGAAAAACAAAUAAAUAAAUGGAAUUAUAUGGAAUUUAGUUAUGAGAAAUUGAUAGAUUCUUUAAGAAUUGUGUCAGUUAUGUACAGUAAGUAUAGUAAAUUACUUAAACUUCGUCAAUACAUAUUUGCUAUUCCAGCUCAUAAUGCAAAUGUAGAGAGAAUUUGUUUUAAUAUGAACAGUCAAUGAACUUAUGAAAUGAAUCAAAUGGAAAUAGAAACAAUUGAAGCAAUUUUUCAUGUUCAAACAAAUUUUAAUUUGAGUUGUUCAAAUUUUUCUAAUUAAGUUGAAUCAAAAUUCAUUAUUGUUAAAACUAGUUAAGUCAAAUUCAAAGUAUCAUUAAUAAUUAAUUUAAAAUGUUUUCUUAAUUAAUAAUAUUAAUUCUUAAAUUAAUAUAAUGACAUAAUCUAUUUAUAUUUCAUACAUAUAAAUUGUAUACAUAAAUAUUUUGUUGUCUCAGUUUUUUGUUUUAUUGAUCUGGUCACCCUAUAUACCACUAAGAUUAUUCUUUAACUAAUGGUGUUAUAUAAAUUUAAUGAUUGAAUAUCGAGUUGCCCAUUUUAAUUUCCCUAAAUAAUUAUCAUUAUUCAUUAUGUUUUGGUACAACUUAUUUGAAUUGUUACAGAUUAUCAUAUAAGUCAUGAAAAAUAACAAGUCUAAUUAAAAAUGUUUUAAGCUUUUUAAUAACUUAUAAAUUGAUUAUAGGUACAUUAUUAAAAUAUUUUUUUUUUGUUUUCAGAAACAUUGGAUAACUUUGGUCACCGUUUACAGUGAAUUGAGUAUCUGAUUAUGAGUGCUGGAAUUCUAUUUCUUAUGAUUGAAGAUUACAUUUUUAAGGAAAUUACUAAGAAAUUUUCAAAAAAAAUACACAAUGUUCGGCCAACAUUAAUGAAAAAGAUUAACAUAU